Molecule: long non-coding RNA, 765 nt
Organism: Astatotilapia calliptera (eastern happy)
Lineage: Eukaryota; Metazoa; Chordata; Actinopteri; Cichliformes; Cichlidae
Source: Ensembl
ACAGUUGUAGACUAGAAAGUGCAUUUUCUGAAGAAACUGCAGUGUGAAUGCUUGAAUCUGAAUGUAUGCACUGAAAUGAAUUAAUUGCUGAAUUUUGAGUUAAAAAUAUUGAAUGAGAUUUAAAAAAAAACAAAAAAAAAAAACGAAUUUAACCUUAAAACAAAGGUGCUGAACUGCUAAAAGCUGAAGGUUACACAGAAGAAGGAGUUGGAAAAAAACUGAAAAUGUUUUAAAUGUAAAUUAGAAAACCCUAAGAAAUGAGAAAAGAACAUUUAGAGUCAGAAAACAUCUGAAUGAAUAUUAAAAGGUCAUAUUCUUUGAAUCACUGAAUGACUCAAAUGUGAUCCCUCCACUUUGAUCCACACAGUUUAAAAAGUUUAAAUGCCUGAGCUUUGAAAGAUACGGUGUUGGAAAGAGAACAAUAAUGGCAACAAUUUGAGGGUAAAAUGAUGGCUGUAACACUGUGGACACAGCAGCAGUUGAAAGAGAAGUGCUUAAGAUGAAUCUUGGUACAGUGGCAGGCAGAGCUCGUUAAGCAGGCAGGUGUGAGCCUGGUUGCUAUAGUGACCGCACCCAAUGGCUCCAUACACACGCACACAGACAUGCACCUCACUUUUGCUGCUUAAAAUGAACAGAAAAGUCAGGCCGAAACAAAUCGUUCCCAAAUGAAAAGUAAAAGUCGUAUUGACAAAAUUCUUUCACCGUGAGCGACAGCAGCUUCUAGUCUACCUAAUUCUCAGUUUUCAUGUCUGUGGAGUUUAUUAU